GCCGGGUGUGGUGGUGCAUGCCUGUAAUCCCAGCAACUUGGGAGACUGAGGCAGGAGGACCAUGAGUUCAAAGCCAGCCUCCACAAUUUAGUAAGGCCCUAAGCAACUCAGUGAGACCCUGUCUUUA
Molecule: small RNA, 127 nt
Filed under: Marmota monax (woodchuck)
Lineage: Eukaryota; Metazoa; Chordata; Mammalia; Rodentia; Sciuridae
Source: RNAcentral